Molecule: ribosomal RNA, 434 nt
Filed under: uncultured bacterium
Lineage: Bacteria
Description: partial 16S ribosomal RNA
Rfam family: Bacterial small subunit ribosomal RNA
Source: RNAcentral
ACGGAAGGCAGCAGUGGGGGAUAUUGCACAAUGGGGGAAACCCUGAUGCAGCGACGCCGCGUGAGUGAAGAAGUAUUUCGGUAUGUAAAGCUCUAUCAGCAGGGAAGAAAAUGACGGUACCUGACUAAGAAGCUCCGGCUAAAUACGUGCCAGCAGCCGCGGUAAUACGUAUGGAGCAAGCGUUAUCCGGAUUUACUGGGUGUAAAGGGAGCGUAGACGGCGAGGCAAGUCUGAUGUGAAAGCCAUGGGCUUAACCCAUGAACUGCAUUGGAAACUGUCUUGCUAGAGUGUCGGAGAGGUAAGCGGAAUUCCUAGUGUAGCGGUGAAAUGCGUAGAUAUUAGGAGGAACACCAGUGGCGAAGGCGGCUUACUGGACGAUAACUGACGUUGAGGCUCGAAAGCGUGGGGAGCAAACAGGAUUAGAUACCCUGGUA